Molecule: ribosomal RNA, 397 nt
Filed under: uncultured bacterium
Lineage: Bacteria
Description: bacterial SSU rRNA
Rfam family: Bacterial small subunit ribosomal RNA
Source: RNAcentral
UAUUGGGCAAUGGGCGCAAGCCUGACCCAGCAACGCCGCGUGAAGGAAGAAGGCUUUCGGGUUGUAAACUUCUUUUCUCAGGGACGAAGAAAGUGACGGUACCUGAGGAAUAAGCCACGGCUAACUACGUGCCAGCAGCCGCGGUAAUACGUCGGUGGCAAGCGUUAUCCGGAUUUACUGGGUGUAAAGGGCGUGUAGGCGGGAGAGCAAGUCAGACGUGAAAUUCCAGGGCUCAACCCUGGAACUGCGUUUGAAACUGUUCUUCUUGAGUGAUGGAGAGGCAGGCGGAAUUCCGGGUGUAGCGGUGAAAUGCGUAGAUAUACGGAGGAACACCAGUGGCGAAGGCGGCCUGCUGGACAUUAACUGACGCUGAGGCGCGAAAGCGUGGGGAGCAAAC